Acanthopagrus latus (yellowfin seabream) is the source of this 3532-nucleotide RNA transcript. It is a transcript of the gene named tweety family member 3a, with no coding region annotated. NCBI's taxonomy places the organism in Eukaryota, Metazoa, Chordata, Actinopteri, Spariformes, Sparidae. The record is from RefSeq and is a predicted model, not a curated record. The transcript has 17 exons.
UUCCGACACUCCCUGAACCUCCCACCAGCCCUGCAACAUGGCGCCUCUGGAUGGCGCUACCGGGCCAUGUUUCCGCCGGUGAGGCGAGGUGGGCUGUGUGCGGGCCGGGGCCGGGUAAACUGCCAGCUGAGUGGAUGUCGUGGUCGUGGACGGCCGCCUAGUUGGCUCCAGUCUCCCAACACUCCGCUGACAACUGGAUGGAUCUUUUUGCUCGGAGGAGCUUGUUUCUGAAGCCGAUGCGGUUGAGGAAGACUGCGAGGAGAUGAAGUGAGGAAGUACCAGCCGAGCGAAAACAGGAUGUAACUAACCGCAGACCAGAAUGUCAAGUGGAACAAAAGAGACUUCUUCUUGUUAUUCGCCUCCCUGCCAGAGUCUCAGCGGACUGAACUAACCAGCAGCUAAACCGGCUAACGCUAGCUGAGUUAACGCUAGCUACUUCACGGUUUCGAGCAUCCUCGCUUUGCUUCCCUGCCCGGUGAGUGGAUCUCAUUGACAUUUACUCGCCAUGGCAGCUGUGGUUAGCUACUCUCCACCAUGGUGGGUGAACCUCCUGCACCGACUUCCCCAUUUCAACCUUCAGUUCGAGCAAACGAGCAGUGAUUUCCAGCCGGAGGACUGGACGUAUCAACAGUCCAUCCUGUUACUGGGAGGUGUGGCGCUCGCCUGUCUGGCCCUGGACCUGCUGUUCCUGUUCAUUUAUUCUAUUUGUCUGUGCUGCCGGCGGAACAAAAAUGAGGAGCAGCCCAACGCUGACUGCUGCUGCACAGCCUGGUGUGUCAUCAUCGCAACACUCGUCUGCAGCGCUGGCAUUGCUGUGGGUUUCUAUGGGAACGGCGAGACUUGUGAUGGAGUGAAUCGGUUGACGUAUUCCCUGCGCCAUGCUAACCGCACAAUCACUGGGGUGCAGAAGCUGGUAUAUGACGGUACAUCCUCACUGAACCAGACCGUAGAAGACAAUCUGCAACAGCUUGAGAGCCAGUACGCACAGCAAGCGGACUACCUGUCCAUCGUCCAAAAGCUGCAGGGCCAGCUGGAUGAGCUGGUCAGGCAGAUGGUGGAGAUUCCCUUCUGGGACAACACCAACAUCUCCUUGGAGGAACUGGCCGUCACGAUUGAGCUGUAUGACUGGUACAGGUGGCUGGGCUACAUAGGCCUGCUACUGUUCGAUGUCCUCAUCUGCCUUCUGGUGCUGUUCGGCCUCAUUCGCAACUCCAAGGGAACGCUUAUAGGGGUGUGCUUGUUUGGCGUGGUGGCUCUGGUAAUCAGCUGGGUCUCCCUGGGGCUGGAGUUGGCUGUCUCAGUGACUUCCAGUGACUUCUGCGUUGCUCCCGACAUGUAUGUCACCAAAGUGGCGAGCCAGUAUGGCGUCGUCAAUCAAGACAUCCUGCAGUACUACCUUAGUUGCAGUGUGGAACAAACCAACCCCUUCCAGCAGAAGCUUUCUGGGAGCCACAAAGCAUUAGUGGAGAUGCAGGAUGACGUGUCGGAACUGCUGCGCUCUGCCACUGGAGAGUAUAAACAAACUAAGGGAAGUUUGGAAGAGAUCCAGGGGAUCCUGAACACCACAGAGAUCAGUCUACAUCAGCUCACCGCUCUGGUGGACUGUCGCAGCCUGCACAUGGACUACGUCCAGGCUAUGACAGGAAUGUGUUAUGACGGACUGGAAGGCCUCAUCUACCUCGUGUUCUUCUCCUUCGUCACUGCUCUCAUGUUCAGCUCAAUCGUCUGCAGUGUCCCUCACACCUGGCAUGCAAAGAGGAGCGAUGAUGACAGCGAGGACGAGUCUCUGAGCCACGGGGGAAGGCAAAACCACGAUAACCUGUACCGGGUCCACAUGCCCAGCCUGUACAGCUGUGGCAGCAGCUACGGCAGCGAGACCUCCAUCCCUGCUGCAGCCCACACCGUCAGCAACGCACCAGUCACUGAGUACAUGGCUCAGAACGCCAACUUUCAGAACUCUCGCUGUGAAAACACGCCUCUGAUAGGACGAGAGUCUCCUCCCCCCUCGUUGUAUUUGACUGCCGCCGACAGUAACAGCGGUCAGAGCUGGCAGUUAAAGCCUUCGGCGAGUUCAAGAUCGUUUUGGUAACCUCAUCUGCUAUCCUAACAGUACACCUCCAGCAUGCGGGCCAAGUACCUGGCCAACAGCCGACCCGAUCCCAACAACCCUCCUGCGCAGUAGACCACGCUGGACUCCACCGAGCACUCAUCCAGUCCGUCAGUCGUUACUUCACCUUCCUCUGCUCUCCUCCAACAUGUCACUUGACUUAAAAUGGGGAAAAAAAACAAAUGUGCUUUCGCUGGCUGGUUGAAGCAAAACUUCCCGCAGAUCAUCAACUCAUCUCAUUCAGACAUCGGGGAGUGCUUUUUCUCUUAAUACCCACAACCCUCGUCUGCAAGAUUCAUCACAGCUCUUUGAAGACGAUGUCGAGGCAGAGGAGGACAGACUCGUGCUUUUAACGAUAAUUUGCCUCUUCAUUGGACUGCUUGUUAGUCUCUCCACGUUCACCGUCGAGAUGUGGAGCCUCAUCUCCCUGAACAGAAGUGGGAAUUGUCCACACACACACACACACACACACACACACUUGACUCUGAUCUUCUCGACCAAAUGCAGCAGAAAUUCCUCUCACCGAUUUAUUCCAACAAGAAAUCUUAACACAAGCGUAUGUGGAAAAAAAUGUGCAUAUGAAACAUGAUGCAUUGGCGAUGCAGUGUCUCACAAAUGUGUUUUAGCAUUUUAAGCAGCGGUAGUAAGAGUGAGUGGAUGCUGUGACGGGAUUGCGACGACUCUGCUCUCUCUGUGAUAAAAGAGGAAUUCUGCCGACGUUCCUGUUGAAGCAUGACGAUCCUUCAAAAUCGUGGAGUGAAAUGUUUGUCUCCUAGAUGUGCUUUUUAGCCCCCCUGUGCUUUUCGUGCCAACAAGUGAAGCACAACUCUUUUACUAUCUGAAUAUCUUUUUUUCAGUGUCUUUACUCGAGGCCAGUUUGUACAGUCGACGGCUCCCGGUCGCCUGCGCAGUCGAACGAGACCAUGAGCUUGACUUUUUCACCUCCUUUACGUGCUGUAAAACAUCAUCACGCCGACGCAAUCUUUCUGUUUUAGGGUAGAAGUCAUAUUCUCUUUGUUGUUUGUAACGCGAGGCCGUUGUACAGAUGAUAAGCUUUCACAAAAAGAUGAAAAAAGAAAAAAGUGGCUAAAAUUGACGUUUCAUUUUUAAUUUCUCUUUCUUUUUAAAUGAUUUUUUAUUUGAUUUGCUCUUUGUUGUUUUUUUUUUAUUAUUAUUAUUUCAUCUUAGAAUCUGUAGCAAGCACAAUGUGUUGCUUCAUUAAUGUGAAUACAGUAAAUAGAUUUUUAAUUUUCAUUGAGUUUUUUUUUCUUUUCUUUUCUGGAAAAAAAAAUCACUGUAGAUGUUUUUUGUUUUUUUUUUUCUACAUCAUUUUUGCAGUCUCUAAAAUGUGUACAUGUUAAACCUGUGGUUAUAUUGAGCUUGAAUGCUGUGUUUUAAAAUUAAACCAACCUUAACUGUAGAGCA